GGAUGUAAGGGCAAUCUGGCUGCGACAUCGGUCAUCCCACUGAUUGCCAGGGUUGAUUCCGUUGAUCUGGCUGGCUAGGUGGGUGUCCCCUUCCUCCCUCACCACUCUAUGUGCUUCGAAUCCCUUCUAAAGCUCUGUGCUCAGUUGAAGAGGAUGACCACCCCAGAUAGAGGAGGACCAUUUCCUCAGUCAAGGUAAACAAGUAGCGGUGCUCCCCUGCUAGAACUUCCAAAGAAGCUCUUAAAAAAAUUGUUAUCCAAAAAGAAAUUCAUAGACUAAAAAUCAAAGGGUGGAAAAUAAUAUUCCAU
Molecule: non-coding RNA, 308 nt
Organism: Heterocephalus glaber (naked mole-rat)
Lineage: Eukaryota; Metazoa; Chordata; Mammalia; Rodentia; Bathyergidae
Source: Rfam